UGCCAGCCGCCGCGGUAAUACGAAGGGAGCUAGCGUUGUUCGGAAUCACUGGGCGUAAAGCGCACGUAGGCGGAUUGUUUAGUCGGGGGUGAAAUCCCGGGGCUCAACCCCGGAACUGCCUCCGAUACUGGCAAUCUGGAGUCCGGAAGAGGUGGGUGGAAUUCCUAGUGUAGAGGUGAAAUUCUUAGAUAUUAGGAAGAACACCGGUGGCGAAGGCGACUACCUGGACUGAUAUUGACGCUGAGGUGCGAAAGUGUGGGGAGCAAACAGGAUUAGAUA
Molecule: ribosomal RNA, 279 nt
Filed under: uncultured bacterium
Lineage: Bacteria
Description: partial 16S ribosomal RNA
Rfam family: Bacterial small subunit ribosomal RNA
Source: RNAcentral